UGUUUCUUCUCAUGUCCCUAUGCAAGAUAUUUGUUGCUUCCUUGUUCCUUCUCCCACGCACGCUGCUUCUCCCUCUCACUUUUCCUAAAUCUUUCUGACCCUAGCUGCAACCCUUACCAACUUCUGACCCAAAUCCAACUUCCCGGGCAAAUCUCGGUCUUUGGAUCUACAAAGAUGAUGAAAAGAUUUUCAAAAGAGCUGAUGGAGAACUUCAGGCAUGUCAACAAAUUGAAGCUGCAGAAUGCUGAUGUCAACGAAUUGAAGCUGGUAAAUGCUCAUGUCAACAAAUUGAAGCUGCAGAAUGCUGAUGUCAACGAAUUGAAGCUGGUAAAUGCUCAUGUCAACAAAUUGAAGCUGCAAAUUGCUGAGCUGCUGGAGCUCUCCAGGCAGAGCAAGUCAAAGCAAGUCAUGGCAAAAUGGAGAACAAAUCUCGCAUUAUUUUUUAUUGGCGCACUACUUCUAAGUGAGCGUUUGGUUUGACGCACCAGUGAGGGAGAGGAAACACAAAAGAGGAGUUUGGUGAAUGGUGAUUAAAUUUGGUUGAAAGGUUGUGAAGUAUGUGUGGUAAGCAAAGUUGGGAGGAAGUCUCUGUUAAUUCUAGAUAAUAGAUGUUGGAGCAAGGAGAAGAUGAGCAAAAUGCAAAGAGUUUAGGUAUUUUUGGGUUAAGUUUUUGAAUAGAUAAAAUGUAAAAGCUUAUGCUUAUCCGGAACUACCUCAAUAUGAUAUGGCUUAAUUAGUUGGGGAUAA
This is a long non-coding RNA of Corylus avellana, 747 nucleotides long. RefSeq lists it as uncharacterized. Lineage: Eukaryota; Viridiplantae; Streptophyta; Magnoliopsida; Fagales; Betulaceae. The record is from RefSeq and is a predicted model, not a curated record.